RNAcentral lists this ribosomal RNA (258 nucleotides) under uncultured bacterium. Its description in RNAcentral is "partial 16S ribosomal RNA". It matches the Rfam family "Bacterial small subunit ribosomal RNA", at positions 793 to 1055 of the family's 1533-position model. The record is from RNAcentral.
GUCCACGCCUUAACUAUGGAUACUAAGUGUCGGCGGUUACCGCCGGUGCCGCAGCUAACGCAGUAAGUAUCCCGCCUGGGAAGUACGGCCGCAAGGUUGAACUCAAAGGAAUUGACGGGCCCGCACAAGCGGUGGAGCAUGUGGUUUAAUUCGACGCAACGCGAAGAACCUUACCCAGGCUGGACAUGCAGGUAGUAGAAGGGUGAAAGCCCAACGAGGUAGCAAUACCAUCCUGCUCAGGUGCUGCAUGGCUGUCGU